RNAcentral lists this small RNA (98 nucleotides) under Salmonella enterica. Its description in RNAcentral is "partial RtT sRNA". It matches the Rfam family "RtT RNA", at positions 1 to 96 of the family's 130-position model. From Rfam's summary of the family: This family represents a bacterial cis-regulatory element known as RtT RNA. The exact function of RtT is unknown although it is thought that it may be involved in changing the cellular response in relation to amino acid starvation. The record is from RNAcentral. Lineage: Bacteria; Pseudomonadati; Pseudomonadota; Gammaproteobacteria; Enterobacterales; Enterobacteriaceae.
GUCUGCACUUGUCGGGGAAGGGUGAGAACCUUCGAUUAAGGUUCGACUCGAGCGAAAGCGAGAGAACGUUGCCAACGGCAACGGCCCGUAGGGUGAGG